RNAcentral lists this ribosomal RNA (254 nucleotides) under uncultured bacterium. RNAcentral's name for it is "partial 16S ribosomal RNA". It matches the Rfam family "Bacterial small subunit ribosomal RNA", at positions 524 to 776 of the family's 1533-position model. The record is from RNAcentral.
UACGUAGGGUGCGAGCGUUGUCCGGAAUUAUUGGGCGUAAAGGGCUCGUAGGCGGUUUGUCGCGUCGGGAGUGAAAAUCCAGGGCUUAACUCUGGACUGGCUUCCGAUACGGGCAGACUAGAGGUAUGCAGGGGAGAACGGAAUUCCUGGUGUAGCGGUGAAAUGCGUAGAUAUCUGGAGGAACACCGGUGGCGAAGGCGGCAUCCUGGACCAAUUCUGACGCUGAGUGAGCGAAAGCCAGGGGAGCAAACGGG